RNAcentral lists this long non-coding RNA (272 nucleotides) under Durio zibethinus. Its description in RNAcentral is "long non-coding RNA (DZIB_LNC000643)". The record is from RNAcentral. Lineage: Eukaryota; Viridiplantae; Streptophyta; Magnoliopsida; Malvales; Malvaceae.
GAUGAUUUCUCAGCAUUUGCCUUUUGUUCUGCCUCUUUCUUAGCCCUAGCUUUAGCCUUUGCUGAAGUUGACAGAACAGCAGUUGGAAGUUUAACAGCUGAUGUAGUGGUGGGCACAGUAGUUGGUUUUGGAUACUCAAAAAGUGAAGGUUUUGCAUGAGAUAAGAACUCAAAUCUUGGUACUUUCAGGUCAUAGUUCAGCCCCAUAAAAGCUGUGGGUGAGAAUGAUAAGCUCACAAAAUAAAUGAGGGGAUACCAGUACCAAAACUGGCU